Molecule: ribosomal RNA, 367 nt
Filed under: Salmonella enterica subsp. enterica serovar Oranienburg
Lineage: Bacteria; Pseudomonadati; Pseudomonadota; Gammaproteobacteria; Enterobacterales; Enterobacteriaceae
Description: partial 23S ribosomal RNA
Rfam family: Bacterial large subunit ribosomal RNA
Source: RNAcentral
GGUUAAGCGACUAAGCGUACACGGUGGAUGCCCUGGCAGUCAGAGGCGAUGAAGGGCGUGCUAAUCUGCGAUAAGCGCCGGUAAGGUGAUAUGAACCGUUAUAACCGGCGAUACCCGAAUGGGGAAACCCAGUGUGACUCGUCACACUAUCAUUAACUGAAUCCAUAGGUUAAUGAGGCGAACCGGGGGAACUGAAACAUCUAAGUACCCCGAGGAAAAGAAAUCAACCGAGAUUCCCCCAGUAGCGGCGAGCGAACGGGGAGGAGCCCAGAGCCUGAAUCAGCAUGUGUGUUAGUGGAAGCGUCUGGAAAGGCGCGCGAUACAGGGUGACAGCCCCGUACACAAAAGCGCAUAUGCUGUGAGCUCG